AUUGAACGCUGGCGGCAUGCUUUACACAUGCAAGUCGAACGGUAACAGGCCUUCGGGUGCUGACGAGUGGCGAACGGGUGAGUAAUGCAUCGGAACGUACCCAGAGGUGGGGGAUAACGCAGCGAAAGCUGUGCUAAUACCGCAUGUGAUCUGAGGAUGAAAGCGGGGGACCGAGCAGCAAUGUUUGGCCUCGCGCCUUUGGAGCGGCCGAUGUCGGAUUAGCUAGUUGGUGGGGUAAAGGCCUACCAAGGCGACGAUCCGUAGCUGGUCUGAGAGGACGACCAGCCACACUGGGACUGAGACACGGCCCAGACUCCUACGGGAGGCAGCAGUGGGGAAUUUUGGACAAUGGGCGCAAGCCUGAUCCAGCAAUGCCGCGUGCGGGAAGAAGGCCUUCGGGUUGUAAACCGCUUUUGGCAGGAACGAAACGGUGUCCGCUAAUACCGGGCGCUAAUGACGGUACCUGCAGAAUAAGCUCCGGCUAACUACGUG
This 492-nucleotide ribosomal RNA is filed under the name uncultured bacterium. RNAcentral describes it as "partial 16S ribosomal RNA". It matches the Rfam family "Bacterial small subunit ribosomal RNA", at positions 30 to 507 of the family's 1533-position model. The record is from RNAcentral.